AUGAGUCGCCAUGAUGGCAUCAACAUUCCCUAAGGCAAGUUCUACCUAGGAGAUGAUGUCUAUGCAUGUCGGCUAGGUGUUCUUCCACCCUUCAGGAAAACCAGGUACCAUCUGAACGGGUUCUCUGGUAGAAACUGUCCUAGGACUCCACAGGAGCUGUUCAAUCUCAGACACUUCAGCCUUAGAGUAACGGUUGAGAGGGCAUUUAGAGCUCUGAAGAACAGGUUCAAGAUCCUGGAUCGAAAGCCAUUCCAUCCUUACCCUACCCAGGCUAAGCUUGUUCUUGCAUGUUGCAUUCUGCAUAAUUGGAUCCUGCAAUGGCGUGUUGAUGAACUUGUGCCGGAGGAGGAAGAUGUGACUCCUGAUGAGGUGUUCAGCUCCGGCCAUGGUGUGGAGGUGUUCGACAACGAAGCGUGGAAGAACAAAAGGUUGAAGUGGGCUUAG
This 444-nucleotide ribosomal RNA is filed under the name Triticum aestivum (bread wheat). RNAcentral's name for it is "partial small subunit ribosomal RNA". Lineage: Eukaryota; Viridiplantae; Streptophyta; Magnoliopsida; Poales; Poaceae. The record is from RNAcentral.